Molecule: ribosomal RNA, 497 nt
Filed under: uncultured bacterium
Lineage: Bacteria
Description: partial 16S ribosomal RNA
Rfam family: Bacterial small subunit ribosomal RNA
Source: RNAcentral
GAUGAACGCUGGCGGCGUGCCUAAUACAUGCCAGUCGAGCGAACAGACGAGGAGCUUGCUCCUCUGACGUUAGCGGCGGACGGGUGAGUAACACGUGGAUAACCUACCUAUAAGACUGGGAUAACUUCGGGAAACCGGAGCUAAUACCGGAUAAUAUAUUGAACCGCAUGGUUCAAUAGUGAAAGACGGUUUUGCUGUCACUUAUAGAUGGAUCCGCGCCGCAUUAGCUAGUUGGUAAGGUAACGGCUUACCAAGGCAACGAUGCGUAGCCGACCUGAGAGGGUGAUCGGCCACACUGGAACUGAGACACGGUCCAGACUCCUACGGGAGGCAGCAGUAGUGAAUCUUCCGCAAUGGGCGAAAGCCUGACGGAGCAACGCCGCGUGAGUGAUGAAGGUCUUCGGAUCGUAAAACUCUGUUAUUAGGGAAGAACAAAUGUGUAAGUAACUAUGCACGUCUUGACGGUACCUAAUCAGAAAGCCACGGCUAACUACGUG